CAGUAGCCGCGGGAAUACGCAGGGUGCGAGCGUUUAUCGGAAUUACUGGGCGUAAAGCGUGCGCAGGCGGUUAUGCAAGACAGAUGUGAAAUCCCCGGGCUCAACCUGGGAACUGCAUUUGUGACUGCAUGACUAGAGUACGGCAGAGGGGGAUGGAAUUCCGCGUGUAGCAGUGAAAUGCGUAGAUAUGCGGAGGAACACCGAUGGCGAAGGCAAUCCCCUGGGCCUGUACUGACGCUCAUGCACGAAAGCGUGGGGAGCAAACAGGAUUAGAUACCCCGGUAGUCCCUGUCUCUUAUAC
RNAcentral lists this ribosomal RNA (301 nucleotides) under uncultured bacterium. Its description in RNAcentral is "partial 16S ribosomal RNA". It matches the Rfam family "Bacterial small subunit ribosomal RNA", at positions 509 to 807 of the family's 1533-position model. The record is from RNAcentral.